GUGCUCGUUUCAGCAGCACACAUACUAAAAUGGGGACGAUAUGGAUUAGCACGGCCCCUGCACAAGGAAGACAGGCAAAAUCAUGAAGCGCUUCAUAAAAAA
Small nuclear RNA from Ailuropoda melanoleuca (giant panda), 102 nucleotides. The record is from Ensembl. NCBI's taxonomy places the organism in Eukaryota, Metazoa, Chordata, Mammalia, Carnivora, Ursidae.